CCCUUAGAUGUUCUGGGCCGCACGCGCGCUACACUGAUACGUUCAACAAGUUCCUUGGCCGAAAGGUCUGGGUAAUCUUUGAAACCGUAUCGUGAUGGGGAUAGAACAUUGCAAUUAUUGUUCUUCAACGAGGAAUGCCUAGUAAGCGCGAGUCAUCAACUCGCGUUGAUUACGUCCCUGCCCUUUGUACACACCGCCCGUCGCUCCUACCGAUUGAACGUGCUGGUGAAGCGUUAGGACUGGCGCCACGUGUCGGGUCCCCCUUCAACGGGGCGCCGGGAAUUUCGUUGAACCCUNCNGUUUAUNGGAAGGAGAANUCGUANCA
RNAcentral lists this ribosomal RNA (325 nucleotides) under uncultured eukaryote. RNAcentral's name for it is "partial 18S ribosomal RNA". It matches the Rfam family "Eukaryotic small subunit ribosomal RNA", at positions 1470 to 1796 of the family's 1831-position model. The record is from RNAcentral.